GACGAACGCUGGCGGCGUGCUUAACACAUGCAAGUCGAACGGAAAGGCCCCUUUGGGGGUACUCGAGUGGCGAACGGGUGAGUAACACGUAAGUAACCUGCCCUUGACUUCGGGAUAACUUCAUGAAACUGGGGCUAAUACCGGCUAGGAAUCCUUGCUGCAUGGUGGGGGUUGGAAAGCUUCGGCGGUUUUGGAUGGACUCGCGGCUUAUCAGCUUGUUGGUGGGGUAGUGGCUUACCAAGGCUUUGACGGGUAGGCGGCCUGAGAGGGCGACCGGCCACAUUGGGACUGGGAUACGGCCCAGACUCCUACGGGAGGCAGCAGGGGGGAAUAUUGCACAAUGGGCGGAAGCCUGAUGCAGCAACGCCGCGUGCGGGAUGACGGGCUUCGGGUUGGAAACCGCUUUCAGCAGGGGCGAAGCUUGUGGUGACGGUACCUGCAGAAGAAGCACCGGCUAACUACGUG
This 465-nucleotide ribosomal RNA is filed under the name uncultured bacterium. RNAcentral's name for it is "partial 16S ribosomal RNA". It matches the Rfam family "Bacterial small subunit ribosomal RNA", at positions 28 to 507 of the family's 1533-position model. The record is from RNAcentral.